Molecule: long non-coding RNA, 2258 nt
Filed under: Panax ginseng (ginseng)
Lineage: Eukaryota; Viridiplantae; Streptophyta; Magnoliopsida; Apiales; Araliaceae
Description: long non-coding RNA (PGIN_LNC013575)
Source: RNAcentral
UAUGAGUACAUACGAAAUAAAUAAGAAAAAGGAGGAAAUUUAGCAAUAAUAGAACUUUAUAGAUUUUUUAUUACAUAAAAAGCCUCUAUAUCUAGAGAUCAGAACCUUACCACAAACUUUUAUAUAUGUUAUUGGUACGUAUACCAAUAAAACUAAUAACCAAUACUGGAAAACAAACAUCUCCAAAAUAAAAACAUAAAAUACUGGAGGCAUGCAUCCUGCUUUCUAUUAUUAUUCUUCUUCUUCAUCUGCUAGCCUUCAUUUUCACUCCAAAAUCCAUUUCAAUUUCUUCUUUUGGCAGUUCUCCUUUCCUGCAAGAAUGUGUUUACUACAAUCAUAUAAACAGUUGCUAAAAAGGUUCCUAUAACACAUUAUGUAACCGACAGAUAUUGAAAAAUGAAUUCAAAUCUUUUGUUUCAUUCCAUGUAUUGUCCUCCAUGUAAUUUUUAUUCAAUUACAAAAUAAUUAUAAAGAUACAGAUUAGGUGGCAGCAAUAAAUAAGGGUGAGACAACAAAUUAGACAGAUAAUGCACAAUAUAAUUGAACUAUGAAAAAAGUGCAUGUUAAAUGUGAUUUUGAAAACUCUUCAUAGUUUUAUUUAAGAUUGAUUAAUUACCUGAGAAAAGGCCAAGUAGUUACUUAGUAGUGAUGAGGAGGAGGAGGAGGAGGAGGAGGGGAGGUGUAGUAAUAAUGCUUGGGUGGUGGUGGCGGUGGAGACUUGUAUUUGUAUACCGGUGUUGGUGGGGGUGGGGACUUGUACUUGUAAACUGGAGGAGGUGGCGGGGGAGACUUGUAUUUGUAAACUGGUGGUGGUGGAGACUUGUAUUUGUAAACUGGUGUUGGUGGUGGUGGGGACUUGUACUUGUAAACUGGUGGUGGUGGGGACUUGUAUUUAUAAACUGGUGUUGGUGGUGGUGGAGACUUGUACUUGUAGACUGGUGGUGGUGGUGAUUUAUAGUGGUAAUGAGGUGGAUGAGAGUGCACUGAGGGAGGUGGUGGUGGUGACUUGUAAUGGUAAGGAGGGGGAGGGGAGUGCACCGGAGGUGGUGGCGGUGGUGAUUUGUAGUGGUAAUGUGGUGGUAGGGAGUGCACCGGAGGUGGUGGUGGUGGUGACUUGUAGUGAUAUGGUGGUGGUGGUGGGGAGUGCACUGGGGUAGGAGGUGGUGGAGACUUGUAGUGAUAAGGAUGGGGAGGAAAGUGCACAGGAGGUGGCGGUGGUGGUGAUUUGUAAUGAUAAGUUGGUGGUGGGAAGUGCACCGGAGGUGGUGGUGGUGGCGGUGAUUUGUAAUGGUAAAGAGGAGAGGAGAAAUGGUCGGUAGCUGCGGUUUCUAAUGGCAAGUUUAGGGACACUAAUACCACUACAAGAGUGACCAUAAGAGUGUCCAUUUUGGACCCCUUCGCUAUUCUUACCAUCUUUUUUACUACAAAUGUAGCUUCUUGUUUGUGCUCUUAAGCAACCUUAAGCCCUCUAUUUAUAGCUUAGCUUUUUACCUUUUAACACUAAUAAUUGUGGUAAAAUUAAUUAAUCUUAUUUGAAUAAUAUACCAAUUUGGUAACAACCUUCUGCAUGAAAAUAUUAGAAUAUAUAAUAGAUGAACCUUUGAAUAAACUGUUGAAUACAUUAUCUUUGGAUCAAUUUGACUUAGAGUUGGUAAGUUAAUUUGUGUGUUGGCAUUUUUUUUAGUAGAUCGAGGCUGCAAGCUCAGCAAAAGAAUAAACUAAUAUUUAAUGUGGCUACUGUUUUUUGGCCUUUUUAAUUGAUGCAAAUAAUUCAGAAGAGAAAGUCUUCUUGUUCUAAAAACAAAUAAAAUUAACUGCAUGUACAAUUGUAUUGUAGGAGAACUUUGAAAAAGUUUGUUUCUUUGCCUAAUUCUUGUUGAUCUUUUGGCGCAGGAGAUCUGGGGCACCUUACUUUUCACACACGCUUGUAUGUGUACGUCCAAUUUCUUGCAUGAUAAUUAUUGCAUGUGCUAUGUUGCUUUCCAUGUUCAUGACAUUUAAAAAUGGGUAAUAAUUAAGAAACCUGACAUUAGUUUUCUAUUUUAUCACACUUUUAAAUAUUUUUUUUAUUUACUCUAUAAUAUAAUUAACUCUUCACCAGAUCCGGUUAACAUGAAGUUUAUUUUUUUGUAAGUUGAUCAAUUGGCGAAUAGAAUACUGCCUGCAUGUCAGUACACUAUUGGUCAAUUGACCAACUUACCUAAAAAUGAACUUCAUGUUAACCACUCCCCCUUUCACCAUUUGGCAGAAGAAGCUAC